GUCGAGGAUCUUCGGCAAUGGGCGCAAGCCUGACCGAGCGACGCCGCGUGCGCGAUGAAGGCCUUCGGGUUGUAAAGCGCUGUCGAGGGGGAGGAAGCCCGCGAGGGUUGACCUAUCCCUGGAGGAAGCACGGGCUAAGUUCGUGCCAGCAGCCGCGGUAAGACGAACCGUGCGAACGUUGUUCGGAAUCACUGGGCUUAAAGGGCGCGUAGGCGGGCACGCAAGUCAGGGGUGAAAUCCUCCGGCUCAACCGGAGAACAGCUUCCGAUACUGCGUGCCUCGAGGGGGGUAGGGGCGCGUGGAACUUCCGGUGGAGCGGUGAAAUGCGUAGAUAUCGGAAGGAACGCCGGUGGCGAAAGCGACGCGCUGGGCCCUUUCUGACGCUGAGGCGCGAAAGCCAGGGGAGCAAACGGGAUUAGAAACCCCGGUAGUCC
This 434-nucleotide ribosomal RNA is filed under the name uncultured bacterium. Its description in RNAcentral is "bacterial SSU rRNA". It matches the Rfam family "Bacterial small subunit ribosomal RNA", at positions 354 to 796 of the family's 1533-position model. The record is from RNAcentral.